Long non-coding RNA from Polistes canadensis, 1194 nucleotides. RefSeq lists it as uncharacterized. NCBI's taxonomy places the organism in Eukaryota, Metazoa, Arthropoda, Insecta, Hymenoptera, Vespidae. The record is from RefSeq and is a predicted model, not a curated record. The transcript has 2 exons.
UUAGAAUAACCCGAAACUCCGUCGUUCUACUCACUCGUAUGUUCGAUCUCGACCGGUUCGUGUCAUCAGACUACACACCGUUUCUUUCCUUCAUACUAAUCUUCGAAAUUUCAAAAACACAUCUACAGUCAUGGAGAUUGCUAAAGCAAACGAUGCAGCAAGUAGCCUGGUCGAGCAAUCGUUGAACGUUGAAUCGGCAUUGAAGUCUGUGAAAUCGUCGCAGAGCACGCAGAGCGUACAAACCAAAUCCGUAAUCGAGUCGUCGACUUCCAUUAAAUCGGUGACCACAUCGUCGAGCAGGUCACAACGAUCGAUGGAGUACGAGGAGUCUGUUGAAUACACAGAUGAAUAAUAAUCAUCACGCGGCGAUAUCCUAGAGUCCCAGGAAAAUCAAGUGGGCAAGCACCGCGAACGUGGUCGAGACUAAAGCACGGUUUGUUAAAUUAUUCAAUCGACUAGUUAGUACAAUCUAUUGGAUAGAAAAUGAAGACGAAAUUCCUUCGUUAUCGAAUGUCAUAUCAUAAUAAUAAUUUUCGAUAUUGUAUAUAGAUAUUCGUUAAUUUUAAUGAAAUUUUUAUCGUACUAACGAGAAGUCAUUUCCUUCGAUUCAAUUUUUAUAUAUAUAUAAAAUAUCUUCAUUAUAUUAAAUGUUAUUUGCGAAUAACACGAGCAAGAGGACAACAACAAAAAAAGUAAUAGAAGAUCAUGAACGAGAAUCAAUGUGGAGUUCUUAUUGGAAGGAAAAAUCGAGUUUUUUACUGAACGACGACGGGUCAAGGAUAGAGAAUUGGGAAUGCCAAUCGCAAUUGAAGACGUCUACGCUUAAUAAAAAGACAAGAAAAAGAAGAUAAAGAAGAAGAAGAAGAAAAAGAAAAAGACGAAUAUACUGAAGAACAUUUAGAAGUCUCGACUACGAUUUUGGCUCCACUCCAAACGCCGUGGUUCGCCGCCAAAUAGCAAAGAGCCCCGUUCCUUUUUCUUUUUACCUUUUUCUUUUUACCUUUUUCUUUUUACCUUUUUCUUACCCGUCUUUUAACCGAGUAUUGGACACUCACCUCCCCCUUCUCCUUAACCCAAUCCUUUUCGUGCAAAUAUUCCGUCAUUGUCAUGUCUCGACACAUCCGAUUUUCAUCUCGAUGCAUUAAUUAAUCUUUGUAUAAUAAAAUUUUUCAAACAAAUACGUACAAACGCAAA